GACGAACGCUGGCGGCGGGCUUAACACAUGCAAGUCGAACGGAAAGGCCCUGGUUUUGUUGGUUGCGCGAGGGGCGAACGGGUGAGUAGCACGGGAGUAACUUGCCCUUGACUUUGGGAUAACGUCAGGAAACUGGGACUAUAAGCGUAAAACAGCUUCAUCUUCAUGGAGGGGGUUGGAAAGUUUCGGCGGAUGUAGAUGUACUCGCGGCUUAUGAGCUUGUUUGUGUGGUUGUGGCUGACCAAGGCUUUGACGGGUAGCAGCCCUGAGAGGGUGACCGGGACACUGGGGACUGAGCUACGGCACAGACCAGUACGGGAGGCAGCAGAGGGGAAUAUUGCAUAAUGGGCGGAAGCAUGAUGCAGCAACGCCGCGCGAGGGAUGACGACCUGCGUGUUGUAAACAGCAUUCGCCUGUGACGAAGCGUGAGUGACGGUAAUGUAUGAAGAAGCACCGGCUAACUACGUG
Molecule: ribosomal RNA, 468 nt
Filed under: uncultured bacterium
Lineage: Bacteria
Description: partial 16S ribosomal RNA
Rfam family: Bacterial small subunit ribosomal RNA
Source: RNAcentral